GAUGAACGCUGGCGGCGUGCCUAAUACAUGCAAGUCGAGCGAACGGACGAGAAGCUUGCUUCUCUGAUGUUAGCGGCGGACGGGUGAGUAACACGUGGAUAACCUACCUAUAAGACUGGGAUAACUUCGGGAAACCGGAGCUAAUACCGGAUGAUAUUUUGAACCGCAUGGUUCAAAAGUGAAAGACGGUCUUGCUGUCACUUAUAGAUGGAUCCGCGCUGCAUUAGCUAGUUGGUAAGGUAACGGCUUACCAAGGCAACGAUGCAUAGCCGACCUGAGGGUGAUCGGCCACACUGGAACUGAGACACGGUCCAGACUCCUACGGGAGGCAGCAGUAGGGAAUCUUCCGCAAUGGGCGAAAGCCUGACGGAGCAACGCCGCGUGAGUGAUGAAGGUCUUCGGAUCGUAAAACUCUGUUAUUAGGGAAGAACAUACGUGUAAGUAACUGUGCACAUCUUGACGGUACCUAAUCAGAAAGCCACGGCUAACUACGUG
Molecule: ribosomal RNA, 495 nt
Filed under: uncultured bacterium
Lineage: Bacteria
Description: partial 16S ribosomal RNA
Rfam family: Bacterial small subunit ribosomal RNA
Source: RNAcentral